ACGAACGCUGGCGGUAUGGAUUAGGCAUGCAAGUCGAACGGGAUCUGAGAUGUUCAAGUAGCAAUAUGAGAAUAUUUCAGUGAGAGUGGCGAAAGGGUGAGGAACACGUGAGUGACCUGCCCCUAAGUUUGGAAUAACCUUCCGAAAGGAGGGCUAAUGCCGAAUGUGGAUUUUCCCCUCAUGGGGGGAUAUCUAAAGAUUUAUCUCUUAGGGAUGGGCUCGCGUCCUAUUAGCUAGUUGGUGAGGUAAUGGCUCACCAAGGCGAUGAUGGGUAGCUGGUCUGAGAGGAUGGUCAGCCACACUGGGACUGAGACACUGCCCAGACUCCUACGGGAGGCUGCAGUCGAGAAUCUUCCGCAAUGGGCGAAAGCCUGACGGAGCGAUACCGCGUGAAGGAUGAAGGUCUUCGGAUUGUAAACUUCUGUCACUGGGGACGAAUAAAUGACGGUACCCGGAGAGGAAGUCACGGCUAACUACGU
This 479-nucleotide ribosomal RNA is filed under the name uncultured bacterium. RNAcentral's name for it is "bacterial SSU rRNA". It matches the Rfam family "Bacterial small subunit ribosomal RNA", at positions 29 to 506 of the family's 1533-position model. The record is from RNAcentral.